Molecule: non-coding RNA, 1625 nt
Organism: Aegilops tauschii subsp. strangulata
Lineage: Eukaryota; Viridiplantae; Streptophyta; Magnoliopsida; Poales; Poaceae
Source: RefSeq, a predicted model, not a curated record
AUGAGAUAGUGUGCAUCGAAACUAUGCUUAUGUUUGUGACAUUCAUGUGGCAUCUCAUGCAGAUAGAUUUUAUUAUCCAUUUCUGUAGCAUGCAAUGUUUAUUUUCUUCUUUUGGUCCAUAAUCCCUCCUCAAAGAAAUAUAAGAGUGUUUAGAUCACUAAAGAAGUGAUCUAAACGCUCUUAUAUUUCUUUACAUAGGGAGUACAUGUCAUGAUUGUUGGAUACACAUGCAGACUUUCAGCGAGUUUUUGUUCUCGGACUUGGGAUCCACAGUCCAAAGUUGAUUGGUGGAUCAAGUGAACUUGGUGCAUCUCCAUUCAAGCUGGUGUACAAUUACCAGCCUGCUUGUUUAGCGCAGUCUCCACAAUCAUACAAGCAAAUGAGCAUCUGUGGUGGCUUUGGGCGCGUGUUUGAGGCUGGUCCGGUAUUUAGAUCAGAAAAAUCAAACACUCACAGGCAUCUGUGUGAGUUUAUUGGGUUGGAUGCAGAAAUGGAGAUUAAGAAGCACUACUUUGAGGCAAGGAAGAUUUGGAGGAAAUAAUUCUUUAGUUUGUCUAUUGAAGCGAUGCUGACCAAGUACUGAUUUUUGUUUUCAGGUUUGUGAUAUCAUAGAUUGCUAAUUGUAGCAAUAUUCAAACACCCAAAUGAAAAUUGUCAGAAGGAACUCGAGACAAUAAAUAGGCAGUAUCCAUUUGAACCUCUGAAGUACCUAGAGAAAACGUUGAAGCUAACGUACGAGGAAGGGAUUAAAAUGCUCAAGGUUUCAUUCUGGAAUCCUCUAGGCAGGGUGCUUGCAAUCCCCUACAUCUCGGCUGCAACAAAAAAGACCCAACGAGGCUGUUGUUUCAAGCUCAGACCCUCUUCAUUGCACGCGGUGCUAGAAGGAGAACUAGGUUGUGGUGGUGUUGCUGGUCGUUUUCCUUUUUUACUUUUGCACUUUGGCCGUCAUAAACGACACAUGCUUGCUCCCCGGAUGGAUCUCUUUCUCUCCCUGGAUCUUUUAAACAGAGGCGGCAGUUACCAUAGGGAAGAGGUCAAGAACAUCUAGCUCUUGUGGUGUUCCUCCUCAUUGUUGUCAUCGCCAUCAACAGCAACAAUGAUGACCGGCUCAUGAGAUGGCUACUAGAGAGGGAGCGAGGAAGGGGGAGACAGAUCUUUCAGGUACAAUGGUACGACAACCAUGUUUUGAAAUAUCAAUGAGAUUUGGUGCUAAGUCAGCAUCGUGUUUUAUCCAAUCUAUCAAACACCAUAAGUUUCAUGUCGAAUGUGUUGUAGAAAUAUGUUCUUCCAUAAAUAUGGUUUUAGUCCUUCAUAUUUUAGUAUCGUUGUAAAUUUAUCCAUUCACAUAUCACUCUGAGAAACAUUUUUAAUUGGGGGAAGGAAGAAUGGAAGAAAAGAAGAGUGCUUUGACGUAAAAAAAGAAGUCAUCAAUAUAGCCCGUUGCAACGCACGGGCGUUCUACUAGGAGAUGCAAGUGAAGUGGAAUAAUGAAAAUACAUUGCAUCAAGUACAUUUUUCGAUUGUUACUGUAAUUUUUUUCUAUACAUGUGAAAUUGGAAGUGCAUUAUGCUUAUGUAUGCAAUCAGAAAAAAUAAUUAAAAGGACCGUGGCAACGCAUGGGCAUU